GCAGAGGGGAAUGGCAGAACCAGCCCAGGCCCCGCUGUCCCGCCUGCUUGUCCCCGUGCUGCUGGCGCUGGGCUGGAUCCUGGGCUGUGCCCUCAUGGUGUACAUUGUCUUCUCCUGACCUGGGAGGGAUGGCAGUGCCACGCAGAGCCCUGCAGGGACAGCGGUGCCACACAGAGCCCUGCGGUGAGAAGAACCUACAAUGAAGUUGUUCAGAAGAACUCAGAAGUUCAGUUUAGAUUUUUAAUUACUAAAAUACGUAUAAAAUGAGUUAUUUUUAAUAUCAGCCAUGUAAAUGUCGUGCGCACUUUUUAUCCAUUAGGAAGAAUCACCUAACCUA
Molecule: RNA transcript, 337 nt
Organism: Melospiza georgiana
Lineage: Eukaryota; Metazoa; Chordata; Aves; Passeriformes; Passerellidae
Gene: STRIT1
Gene name: small transmembrane regulator of ion transport 1
Exons: 3
Source: RefSeq, a predicted model, not a curated record